Long non-coding RNA from Alligator mississippiensis (American alligator), 320 nucleotides. RefSeq lists it as uncharacterized. The record is from RefSeq and is a predicted model, not a curated record. Lineage: Eukaryota; Metazoa; Chordata; Crocodylia; Alligatoridae. The transcript has 2 exons.
GAAUCAUUUACGACCAGGCUUAAGUGCAUGAACAUACUUUCCCAGACCAGGCAAUCUGUAGAGAGUGCUGCCCUGAGCCUGCAUGGUCAGAAUCUGGGCUCAACAACAUGGCCCCACUACCUUUAUUGGGAUCACCUCAGGCAUUCAACUCCAGGACUGUGGCCACUGUGUGGAUUUGACAGGAAUUUUGCCUCCUUGGAGAGGGCAGGGUUUCACCAGGAGUUUGAAAGAUGGUCUGGAACUUCUCGCAAGUCAGUUUCCACUUGAAGAUGAACAAGAUGAUCUGUUCCAUUAAUUACAUUCGCUGCAUCAACAUGUUA